GGGAAUUUAUUAGGUAGCCUACAGAUGUACUACAAAAACCCAUGGUUAAACUAUGAUUUUUUGAAGCAAAAACCACCCAUGCUUUGAGUUUUCACAAUUCCUCAAUAAAAAAAUUAUAUAAUCUCCAUAAAAUAGCCUAUACAUAGCCUAUUGUAAGUAUUUGGAGAAGAAACAUUUAUGUUCUCCACGUAAACCAUUGAAAUCGGUUAAAUAAAACGUGGUUCUGUUUUUAAAAAUCUCCGGGAAACUUGCGUGUUUUUAGAGCAGUGUGAGCAAACCACGCGGCAGUCGAUGCGACGUCUGUGGCUGCUGAUACAAUCUGGUUUGCAAUGCAUCAUGGAAAUUGUAGUUGAUUUACAUGUACAGUGUUAAAUCCGCUUUGCAAAAAGACUACUUUUCCCAGAAUGCACCCAGUGACACCAUCCCGCCUACCAGAGGAUCCGGAAGUUGCGUAGCAGCUAUUCAGCAACUCAACGCAGUCGCGGUGAAAUUCAAAUAACUAAGUUAGUUGUUCUAACUUCGACAAUCACGCUGUGUUGGUUUUAUCUUUUGAAGUUUUAAUACAUGAUCAAGUGAAGAACAUCGGAAGCUGCUUCUUGCUGAACAACAGCUGAUCUUUCUGAGGCCACCAAAACGGAAAAUAAAAUGAAACAGGCGACUAAUGGAUGAAAAUGACCCCGAUGAGGAGGCUACUGCAGCCAUGGCAAGUAGAGAAGUUCACAAGACCUCACAGAACAUCGCAGGCAACAGGAUUUAACUUUACAGUCUCACAGACAGGCAAUACAGUCACCAUGGCAUCAUGAAACACCCAGA
Pimephales promelas (fathead minnow) is the source of this 813-nucleotide non-coding RNA. Lineage: Eukaryota; Metazoa; Chordata; Actinopteri; Cypriniformes; Leuciscidae. The record is from RefSeq and is a predicted model, not a curated record.